RNAcentral lists this ribosomal RNA (138 nucleotides) under uncultured eukaryote. RNAcentral's name for it is "partial 18S ribosomal RNA". It matches the Rfam family "Eukaryotic small subunit ribosomal RNA", at positions 1299 to 1458 of the family's 1831-position model. The record is from RNAcentral.
UGGUGGAGUGAUUUGUCUGCUUAAUUGCGAUAACGAACGAGACCUUAACCUGCUAAAUAGCCAGGCUAGCUUUGGCUGGUCGCCGGGCUUCUUAGAGGGACUAUCGGCUCAAGCCGAUGGAAGUUUGAGGCAAUAACA